AGGUGAGUUGAUCCCAUGUUGUUCAUAUUUGUGUUCCAAUAUUAGCCACCAAUUGAAUAUUUCAUUUUGUACUAAAUAAGCUGCAUAAUAAAUCUUUUCAUCAUCGCAACAUUCUUAGAUGGCAAAUAUCUUUUCCAUCUCUAUAAUCCAAUUGUCAACUUCCAAAUUGCUAUGAUGGUGGUCAAAUUCCAUGCAAUAGAGAGCAAGAAGUGCGGGAACCC
Molecule: long non-coding RNA, 221 nt
Filed under: Elaeis guineensis (African oil palm)
Lineage: Eukaryota; Viridiplantae; Streptophyta; Magnoliopsida; Arecales; Arecaceae
Description: long non-coding RNA (EGUI_LNC027362)
Source: RNAcentral